GACGAACGCUGGCGGCGUGCUUAACACAUGCAAGUCGAGCGGUAAGGCCCUUUCGGGGGUACACGAGCGGCGAACGGGUGAGUAACACGUGGGUGACCUGCCCUCAGCUCUGGGAUAAGCCUGGGAAACUGGGUCUAAUACCGGAUAUGACUCCAUGACGCAUGUUGUGGGGUGGAAAGCCUUGUGCGGCUGGGGAUGGGCCCGCGGCCUAUCAGCUUGUUGGUGGGGUGAUGGCCUACCAAGGCGACGACGGGUAGCCGGCCUGAGAGGGCGACCGGCCACACUGGGACUGAGACACGGCCCAGACUCCUACGGGAGGCAGCAGUGGGGAAUCUUGCGCAAUGGGCGAAAGCCUGACGCAGCGACGCCGCGUGAGGGAUGACGGCC
Molecule: ribosomal RNA, 387 nt
Filed under: uncultured bacterium
Lineage: Bacteria
Description: bacterial SSU rRNA
Rfam family: Bacterial small subunit ribosomal RNA
Source: RNAcentral